RNAcentral lists this long non-coding RNA (669 nucleotides) under Bos taurus (domestic cattle). RNAcentral's name for it is "long non-coding RNA NONBTAT002888". Lineage: Eukaryota; Metazoa; Chordata; Mammalia; Artiodactyla; Bovidae. The record is from RNAcentral.
AAGUGAAAUACAAAAUUUUGAUAAGACAUAACUAGUACUAUGUUCACAAGAGUAAGAGUGGCAAAGGGGGGGUUAAUGGUCUCCCCCCAAAGUACCUCAUAUUCUCUUGUCUGAUGUAUCAUAAUGAGAGCAUUUCUUAUCUUCCUUUACUAUGAAGUCAUAAAGCAAGUCACCAGCCUCAAAAAAAAAAAAAAAGCACAGCUCUUGAUAUCAAGGGACAUCUAAUUUAUGUUCUAAUAGUAACAGUCUGUGUACUGGUAAAAUGAAUUCACUUCUAAUAUUUUCACAUUACUGGUAACAUAGAAAAGGAAUAUUUGUGGCUAUAGACACACAAAAUAGAAAUCCAGGGUAGCAAACUUACAAUCUGCAUAUCAAAAAGGUAUUUCUCCAACUGUGUUUUCUAUGUAGGCUAUUAACAAAACUACAUAGAAACUAUGUCUAAAAAUAAGUAGUCUUACAUUUUGCAAUUCCCUAAAUGCUACCCAUAAACAAUUUGUAAAAUACAGAGGAAAAACAAAUCUGAUGAAAUCAAGAUGUUAAGUUUUUAAAAAUGAAUGAUAAUUUGAAUGUAGAUAGCAUGGAAGGAAGUUUUCCAACCCUUGGUUUAAAAAAAAAAAAAAUCCAGGUAAAGCACAAAGGCAAUGAGAAUUAACCAAUAGGAAAAAAGGC